RNAcentral lists this ribosomal RNA (206 nucleotides) under uncultured bacterium. Its description in RNAcentral is "partial 16S ribosomal RNA". It matches the Rfam family "Bacterial small subunit ribosomal RNA", at positions 568 to 773 of the family's 1533-position model. The record is from RNAcentral.
AGCGCAGGCGGGCCGGUUAGUCUAAAGUGGAAUCCCAGGGCUCAACCCUGAACGUGCUUUGGAUACUGCCGGUCUUGAGUUCGUGAGAGGAAAGUGGAAUUCAGGGUGUAGCGGUGAAAUGCUUAGAUAUCCUGAGGAACACCAGUGGCGAAAGCGACUUUCUGGCACGAAACUGACGCUGAGGCUCGAAAGCAUGGGUAGCAACG